CGGAUUUCUACGUUCUUCACUGAGCUUGACCAGAACUGACCAUGAUUGAUGGUGAUCUUCAGUAGAAAAGGCGGGCAAUCAGGAAAAAGAAAAAAAAAAAAAAUUCACAGAGAUCAUGGUUGCCAUCUCCAAGGAUGACACUAUACAUACCAGAAGAGCCUGUGUCAUCAAAUCUCUGUGCACCUACUUGAACGAAGACCCUGAAAAACUAGUGAAGGCAUAUUUGGAUUCAGACAUUGAGUCACAAAGUACCAUGGAGCAACUGUGAUAGGAGUGUAUAUCAUACUGAAGGAGGGAGCGCUGCCUGAUGAUGACCCACAGGACAUUGGUGUCUUAAUUGAAGGUGUGGAAGUCAUCAGUGACUUGAGUAGCAUUGCAUAGGCUUGUGCUGUUAUUUGGACUGAUAUACUGUUUGAACCUGAGCUACCCAGAGAUCAAAUGAACAUUUAAAGUCUUGCAGAAUAUCUUUCUAAAUCUAAAUGGACAGAGGUUGUCAUCCAAGGCACAAUUCCUCAAAAACAACUUUUGGAAUAAGUGAGCUUGAAAAAGACAGAAAAGCCAAACAAAAUGCACUUGGAGUUCCUCAUGUAUAUGGACAAC
Long non-coding RNA from Onychostoma macrolepis, 600 nucleotides. RefSeq lists it as uncharacterized. The record is from RefSeq and is a predicted model, not a curated record. The transcript is spliced from 3 exons. Lineage: Eukaryota; Metazoa; Chordata; Actinopteri; Cypriniformes; Cyprinidae.